Non-coding RNA from Microcebus murinus (gray mouse lemur), 5549 nucleotides. Lineage: Eukaryota; Metazoa; Chordata; Mammalia; Primates; Cheirogaleidae. The record is from RefSeq and is a predicted model, not a curated record.
AACUCAGUGGUAGCUGGGAAAGUUGUUAUUCUCACUUCUAGAGGUGGAGGAAGAGGAUAUCCCUCUGUUCUCCCAGCCCUAAGCUGAAUAACACAUGUUGACCUUACACUGGAUUCUAUCUUUCACUUCCUUUCUACCUUCACCUCCCACCCCCAAUUCUGACUUAGGGAGGUCACAUUAAUCUAUUAUGUACUAUUCUGUUAGCCAUAGUAGUUGAUUCCCUGUUCAGAGUGAACUACCUUGGCUUGGGGUGGGAGAAAAGCCAAAGAAUGAAAGGGAUGCCCAUCGAAGAUAAAUUUCACUUAACUCAGUUUUGAUAAAGGUCCUAGUGUGCCUUUCAGAAUUGUAUUGGGUACCAGAGAAUGCAGUUGUGAUUGACAAACAUAUGUAUGUACAUAUCUAUAGAGUCAGAGAUUGAUUAGCUUUGUAAACUGAAAAUGGAAAUACAAUAGAUAAAUAGAAUUUUUGGAAAAUCUUAACCAGAGACCUCUGAAUCUAACUUCUAUAAAAUACCUAUCUUGUUAAAAGAGAAAUUGAUUGAUUUUUGUCUUUUAUUACUUCAAUUACUACUUGUUGAGCCUAACCUUUGUGAUUUUGAUUAAAUGCAAAAGUUGAAAGGAGCAACUUGUAGCUGUCUUCCCUUUCCUACUUGAUGCUUUUGCAGGAACUUGGGAGUCUGUACUGCCUUUCUUUGUUCCUUCUAUCCUUCAUGAAUGGCUCCAGUUUUACCCCUACUCCAUCCUCUACUCUUACGCUGUUUUGCAUAUUGCUUUAUGCAGAUAUUUCUUAGAAUGGAUUGAGGUCAUGGGCUUACUCCCUGUGUCCCUUUCUAGGCUAUGAUGUCCUAGCACAGUGCCGAGUACAUAGUAAUCCAGUCCCUCAAUUUUGAGCAAAUGAAUGGUGGAGGAGAAGGAGAUGCAAACACCUUAGCAGUCUUAAAACUGAAUGAUGGAAAAUGGUUGCUAGGAUUAUUGAAAGUCAGGAUGCUGAAGAAGGAGCCUAAGUCAGUGAAGCAUAAGCUGUAACCAUGACUACUGAAGUAGGCUCUGCCUCUGAAGUGAAGAAGGACUCUGACCAGUUAGGAGCAGGCGCAACCAAGGAGAAACCUAAAGAAGUAGCAGAAAACCAGCAGAAUAAGUCAGCUGAUCCAGAGGAAGAAGAAGGUUCCCAGCCAUCUCCUACAGCUGAAAGCCAAAGUAGUGUGCGCUUCCAGAAGAGACAGAAGGAGCCAUCUGAGAGAAGGGGUAUUUCCCGAUUCAUACCCCCAUGGCUUAAGAAACAAAGGUCAUAUACCUUAGUCGUGGCCAAAGAUGGAGGAGAUAAAAAAGAGCCUACCCAAGCUGUUGUGGAAGAACAGGUCUUUGAUAAAGAGGAACCUCUUCCAGAAGAAGAGAGACAGGCCAAGGGUGAUGCUGAAGAAAUGACUCAAAGGAAGCAACUGGAGAUUAAGGUUGAAAGCAAGGAAGAAAAACCUUCUGUGAGCAGAGCUGAGACACAGCCUGAUGAAUUAGUAAGUAAGGAGAGAGAAGAGGAGAAGGUAAAGGAAUUACAAGAAGACAAAUCAGAAGGAGCAACAGCAUCAAAAAGAGUGACCAAGGAAGUGCAGACCAAUGAGCUAAAAGCAGAGAAGGCCUCUCAAAAAGCCACCAAGAAGACCAAAACUGUCCAGUGUAAAGUGAUCCUCUUAGAUGGCACUGAAUACAGCUGUGACCUGGAGAAACAUGCUAAGGGACAAGUGUUAUUUGACAAAGUAUGUGAACACCUCAAUCUCUUGGAGAAGGACUACUUUGGACUUAUGUUCCAGGAAAAUCCUGAGCAGAAAAACUGGCUAGAUUCCGCAAAAAAAAUACAGAGACAACUGCGAAAUCUUCCCUGGCUGUUCACUUUUAAUGUGAAGUUUUAUCCUCCUGAUCCUUCUCAGUUGACUGAAGAUAUCACCAGAUACUUGUUGUGCCUUCAGCUCCGGCAGGACAUUGCCUCUGGCCACCUGCCCUGCUCCAUUGCAACUCAUGCCCUCCUGGGAUCCUACACACUGCAGGCUGAACUUGGAGACUAUGACCCAGAAGUGCAUAGCAACAUUGACCUCAGUGAAUACCAGUUUGCUCCCACACAGACUAAGGAGCUGGAAGAGAAGGUGAUAGAGCUGCAUAAAACCCACAGGGGCUUAUCUCCAGCACAAGCUGAUUCUCAGUUCAUAGAAAAUGCAAAGAGACUUUCCAUGUAUGGUGUUGACCUACAUCAUGCCAAGGACUCAGAAGGCGUGGACAUCAAGCUGGGUGUGUGUGCUAAUGGCCUCCUCAUUUACAAAGACAGACUGAGAAUCAAUCGUUUUGCUUGGCCAAAAAUCUUGAAGAUUUCCUAUAAGCGCAGUAACUUCUACAUUAAAGUCAGGCCUGCAGAGAUGGAACAGUUCGAGAGCACCAUUGGAUUCAAACUGCCAAACCACCGGGCAGCGAAAAGGCUAUGGAAAGUGUGUGUGGAGCAUCACACUUUCUACAGGCUUGUGUCUCCAGAGCAGCCACCAAAGGCCAAGUUCCUGACCUUGGGGUCCAAAUUCCGCUACAGUGGCCGCACCCAAGCACAGACCCGCCAGGCAAGCACCCUCAUAGAUAGGCCAGCACCACAGUUUGAGCGCACAUCUAGUAAACGGGUCUCCAGGAGUCUUGAUGGAGCUCCAAUUGGUGUUGUGGACCAAAGUCUUGUGAAGGAUUUUCCUGUCUCUGCUGGGGAGAUUUCAGCAUAUGGCCCUGGAGUUGUCAGCAUUGCCAUGGUACAAGAUGGGGAUGGCAGGAGGGAAGUGAGAAGCCCAACUAAAGCCCCACAUUUGCAACUCAUUGAAGGAAAGACUGUUUCCAUGUACCCACCUUCACCACUCUUCCACCGUGUUUCAUCAUUUUCACCAAACCUACUGCCAGUCCCUGAAAUGGACUUGCUUUCAGACAUUUCAGAGGAAGACCCCUUUGGGGAGGCUGAGCAGAUCACCCUAGACAGCUUAGAGCUCCUUUCCACAGGUGAAACAUCAGAGCAAGGGGACUCUGAAGUUGCCAUACCUGAUUCAGUCUUGGAUCCUACUGUAGUCCCUCCUUGGCCUGACUGUCCUUCUCCCAUCCAUGAGAAGACUCCUAAAGCGGCUGACCAUGAUGAUUCUGAGUGUAGUUACUUCUCCUUCAGUUUCUACAAAUGUUUCCCCUCUGGCUUCCCCUCAAUUCUUGAUGAAGAUGGGUAUCUUGCUUUCCCCAGCCUCCCCAAGGUCUGGGUCUCCUUCCUCCCCGCUGGUGUUCAGCACUAUGUCCCCAUCACUUCCCCGUCAUUCAUUCCUUCCCUUAUCCUCAUCUUUGGGCUACUUCUCUCUGCUUCUCAGUCGGUUCCUUUUUCUCUCACCUUCUCCCUUCCUCUGGCUCUAUCCCUCUGCUAUCUGGAGGCUAAAGCCACCUCCUUUAAUGUUGCUUCUGACUGUGACUUGAAUGACAAAACAGAGGAAGAAGAAGCAGUUGCUGGUACUACUACAUAAGCUUGAAUUUGUGGAGUCAACAAAUCUAUCCUUUAUCUUCAACCUUUCCUAAUAUAGAGUGUAAACAUGUGCAUAAAUUUCAUUGAUUAUCCUCAACAUAGUAUUAUCUGCACAUUUUCACAUAUACUAUGUUUUAGUGCAUGAGAAAUAGGUGUAGACAGUUCUCUAUUGAUAUCUGUUGACCAGGUCCACACUUUGCUAGUUGAGAGCAAAAUUACAGGGUUAUUUUAUAAAUAUCUAGAUCAUACUAGAUUUUUAACAAAAGGAGUGGGCGUGGAGGGAAACCUGUGUUGCCCUUAACAAUCAUACUGGGUCUCUCCAUUUUACAGACAGGUGUUAACUGCUAUUCAUUUAGGAUGGAAACUUUUUGUUUUGUUAUAGAGUAGAACUUAGGAUGAUGCAGUGGACAUUAACUGUAAUUGAUGUGUAUUAGUAGAACUCUUAGUAUUGUUAUUUCUCUUGUUAGAAAUCCAAGCUCAUCCUUGAAUUUAUGAGGAGGAUGAAUGUUCCUUUACUCCUGACAUUUGUUAGUCUAAUCUCAGAAACUCCUUAUCUCCCUAUUAGUGUAGCAUUUGGGGACCAGAUGAAUUUUAACCAUAUUUUCCCCCAACUCUACAUUAUGUAUUUAUAUAAAAAAGUGACUGUCAGGUCUUUUGUAAGGAAGAACUGUUAUCUUUAACAAAUGUGUAUAAAAAAUGAAACAUGGCUUUUUCAAAAUUUAGAUUUAUAACACUGGGAUUAUGCCUCUUAGUGCUCUUUUAUUUGAAAUUAGGUGUCUGGUUUGAGGAUUUUUACCCCUAUAUAAUCCAAUUUUUUUCAAGUUUACUAUCUCUGAACUACUAAGUCAGUGUUAAUAUGUGUAGUAGGUUUUUGAUUGUUUUGCUACAUGUGGCCUGGUGAUUUAGUGUCUUAUUCUUUGAGUUCCAUCAAUACAUAGAGUAAAUCACAAAAUUUAGAGUAAACCUAAAGAAAAAUGUGAAGAUAAUACAAUGAGUAUGCAUUGUAGGAGAAGCCACAAUUGUUAAAAAGUUUACCUGAGGAAUACCAAAGAUCAACAUUUUAGAGAUUUAAGUGUUGACCAAGGAAUUGGAAGAUGGUUCUUAACAGAUUAUUGAAUGGCUGUGUCUUGAGCUCCCUGCUUAACCUCACAAAAAUACUAUGAAUAGUAAAAGUAAGCAUUUUGAACUCUCAGAUUUGACACUAUGUUCCCAGUAAAGAAGGAAAGGAAUAUAUGUUAUGAAUUAACAUGUAAAGCUUAAAAUGAUCUUCUUUUGAUAUCAGAACCAAGAUUUUUCAUUCUCACUUUUCUUUUCCUUGAGUUAAAAUUCUGUCCGUAUUUAUGUUAGUUUUAAACUUCCAAAUUCAUUUUUUGGGUCAUUAGAUAUUGAGAAAUGUCUGACUAUGAAAAAUUGUUUUUGUUUAAAUAAUUUUAUGAAAGAAAAGUGGCUAUAUUUCAAAGAUUAUUUUUCAAUACCCACCAUUUUAAUAUGAAAGUAGUUGAAUAAACCAGUUUUCUUCCCAAGGAAAGAAAUCCAUAUAAAAAAAUGAAUACUAGGGUGAAAAUUUGUUCCCUGAUACAUAGCUAAAGACAAAUAUUAUACCUUGGCCUAUCACUAGUUGAUUUAGACAUUUCAAAUUAGAACAGAUUGAAUUAUGCCAUUUUUGCACUCUCGUAUUUUCAUUCAUGAGUAAAAAUUCAAAAGCAGAGCACAAUCUAGGGACUGAGAAAGAGCGAAGCUUCCCUUCUCCAUUCCACCUUUGCAAAGGAUCAUUUCCGUCAUUUGUACAACACUGUAGGUGAAGAAAGAACAAAGUGGCUUAAUAUUCUGCAUCUUCUGAGGGCCAGACAAUAAAGGUGAAGAUGGAAGAAGAGGAAACACAGCUGAAGGAGGACCUGGAUAAGGCCCAGGAGGACAUACUGAAACAUCAGGCUAGCAUUAGUGAACUCAAGCGCAAUUUUAUGGAAUCCACACCUGAGCCGCGCCCUAAUGAAUGGGAAAAACGACGUAUCACACCUCUGUCCCUACAGACACAAGGG